Molecule: unclassified non-coding RNA, 240 nt
Filed under: soil metagenome
Description: partial contains 5.8S ribosomal RNA, internal transcribed spacer 2, and large subunit ribosomal RNA
Source: RNAcentral
AACGGUCUAUACCUGCGGUACCUGCGGAGGGAUCAUUACUGAAUUGAUUUUGGGGAUGUUGCUGGUCUCUUGAGGCAAUGGUGCACUCCCUCAAACAUUUCACAAUUUCCUUCACACCCCUUGUGCACCCUUGGUAGGGCCCCUUUCCAGGCUUAUAACCUGACAAAGGGAAGACUCUAUGUGUUGCUACCCUUCACACUUAUUGAAUGUAUGGUGUCAUUAUGAACAUAAAAAGAAACA